CCUUACCGAUAAUUUCUUCCUGAAAUCUUGGCACUUUAUGACGUCAUCACCUUGCCUAUGUCACCCGCCACUAUCAACCAAUAACAGGCAGCAUAUACUGCUCUGGUAGAUGGAACUUGGUGCGAGCUACCCAUUAAUUUGGGUUGUCGUCACCUCUAGUUCAGUUUCAGGCGCGGCUAGCCGUGCAUUUGGUCUUGCAGCAAGACCGUAGUUCGUUUUCGCCUUAAAUUACCUAUUCCCUUUAGCGUUAAUUAUUCCUUUACCCAACUUUUCCACGUUAAAACUACAUUCCCAACACUGUUACACAAUGUUAAAUGCGUCCGAAAUAAGUCAGUUUAGUUAUGACGACAUACGAUGACGUCAUGAUGACGAAGAACGAAAAAAGAAGACGCCACAUGCCCAUAGGGGUACAGGGGAAUUGUAACCGGGUCCUGCAGACGGAGAGGACGAAGAGGAGUGAAUGGAACACAAGUAGCUUCAGAACCAGUACGGUACAAAUGGUAGUACUGGUCAACGGUAUGUUGUCGAUGUCCCAAUAGGCGAUGGAGUCCCGGCGUGUGGCUGUUUAUUAGGGUCGUCCCCAGUACAGUGUUGUAUUAUUUUUGUCGCUGGUUACCCACCAUGUGGUUCCCUUUUUGGUGCUGCGUGGUGGGGUAUCAGUAACGCGCGACGCGACGCACAUACGCACGCAAUCGGCGCACACGAUCGACGCACAAAAUAGACGCAUGCGGAAGACCAAAGACCAAGACAAUGACGAACUUUCAACACCGAAAAUUUAAGAGACCACAACAUCACUACAAGCUUGUGUUAUUUAAAGUUUUACUUCCAUACUUCCAUACAGCUUACGAUAACCUAUAUUUAUAUUAACCUUUAUUGUUUUACAGGAAUCAAUUCAAGAUCUUCAUUUCUUACUCCUUUUCUAUCUUUCUACUUUAUUUUCUUCUUAACUCUUUGGUGGCCGGCCACCAC
Ciona intestinalis (vase tunicate) is the source of this 969-nucleotide non-coding RNA. Lineage: Eukaryota; Metazoa; Chordata; Ascidiacea; Phlebobranchia; Cionidae. The record is from RefSeq and is a predicted model, not a curated record.